RNAcentral lists this ribosomal RNA (497 nucleotides) under uncultured bacterium. RNAcentral's name for it is "partial 16S ribosomal RNA". It matches the Rfam family "Bacterial small subunit ribosomal RNA", at positions 28 to 507 of the family's 1533-position model. The record is from RNAcentral.
GAUGAACGCUGGCGGCGUGCCUAAUACAUGCAAGUCGAGCGAACGGACGAGAAGCUUGCUUCUCUGAUGUUAGCGGCGGACGGGUGAGUAACACGUGGAUAACCUACCUAUAAGACUGGGAUAACUUCGGGAAACCGGAGCUAAUACCGGAUGAUACUUUGAACCGCAUGGUUCAAAAGUGAAAGACGGUCUUGCUGUCACUUAUAGAUGGAUCCGCGCUGCAUUAGCUAGUUGGUAAGGUAACGGCUUACCAAGGCAACGAUGCAUAGCCGACCUGAGAGGGUGAUCGGCCAAACUGGAACUGAGACACGGUCCAGACUCCUACGGGAGGCAGCAGUAGGGAAUCUUCCGCAAUGGGCGAAAGCCUGACGGAGCAACGCCGCGUGAGUGAUGAAGGUCUUCGGAUCGUAAAACUCUGUUAUUAGGGAAGAACAUAUGUGUAAGUAACUGUGCACAUCUUGACGGUACCUAAUCAGAAAGCCACGGCUAACUACGUG